Molecule: long non-coding RNA, 440 nt
Organism: Alosa alosa (allis shad)
Lineage: Eukaryota; Metazoa; Chordata; Actinopteri; Clupeiformes; Clupeidae
Exons: 3
Source: RefSeq, a predicted model, not a curated record
CACCAUAAACAUAUGCCUGGUGUGUGUGUGUGCGAGAGAGAGAGAGAGAGAAUGUGUGUGUGAGUGUGUAUGUGAGUGAGAGUGAGAGGAGUUAAGGGAAAAAACACUGUUGUGAGCAGUGGUAUAUAUAUGGCCAGAAAGCUAUGAGAUACAUGUCAUUUCUUCAGAGAGAUACAAGUACGUGUAUAUGAAAAAACGAAGUACAACAUAUCAAGAAUGGAGACACUUUUCUUGAUUAUCGCACUUCAUGUGUCAGGAUUCACAGUUCUGGCACUACCUCAAGCUAAAAAUUUGGCAUUGUAUGGAAGAGCCACACAAUCAGACCUAUAUGAAAGCCCAUGGUCAGGGCACAGUGAUGCCCACAAUGCCAUCGAUGGUAAUCGUGACCCAAAUUUUCUUCAUGGAUCCUGCACCUUAACUGAUAAAGAAACAAAUCCCUG